The sequence is a transfer RNA, 84 nucleotides long. It matches the Rfam family "tRNA". Rfam says of the family: Transfer RNA (tRNA) molecules are approximately 80 nucleotides in length. Their secondary structure includes four short double-helical elements and three loops (D, anti-codon, and T loops). The record is from Rfam.
GGCGGAAUGGCGCAAUGGUAGCGUGUGGUCCUCCUACUGGGAGAGCUAAGACUGAGGUUGUGGGUUCGAGUCCCAUUUCCGUCG